GGGGAUUGUCCCUGUAAUAAGUGCUCUGUAUAAUACAUUGGUACUCAGAAGGUUGCUGGUUUGAUCCCCACAGUCACCACCAUUGUGUCCUUGAGUAAGACACUUAACUCCAGGUUGCUCCGGGGGGAUUGUCCCUGUAAUAAGUGCUCUGUAUAAUACAUUGGUAAUCAGAAGGUUGCUGGUUUGAUCCCCACAGUCACCACCAUUGUGUCCUUGAGUAAGGCACUUAACUCCAGGUUGCUCCGGGGGGAUUGUCCCUGUAAUAAGUGCACUGUAUAAUACAUUGGUACUCAGAAGGUUGCUGGUUUGAUCCCCACAGUCACCACCAUUGUGUCCUUGAGUAAGACACUUAACUCCAGGUUGCUCCGGGGGGAUUGUCCCUGUAAUAAGUGCUCUGUAUAAUACAUUGGUACUCAGAAGGUUGCUGGUUUGAUCCCCACAGUCACCACCAUUGUGUCCUUGAGUAAGACACUUAACUCCAGGUUGCUCCGGGGGGAUUGUCCCUGUAAUAAGUGCUCUGUAUAAUACAUUGGUAAUCAGAAGGUUGCUGGUUUGAUCCCCACAGUCACCACCAUUGUGUCCUUGAGUAAGACACUUAACUCCAGGUUGCUCGGGGAUUGUCCCUGUAAUAAGUGCACUGUAACUCAAUUUGGAUAAAAGCAUCUGCCAAAUGCAUAAAUGUAAAUGUGAGUAGUGUGUGUGAGAGUGUUGUGUGAGUAGUGUUGUGUGUGAGAGUGUUGUGUGAGUGUUGUGUGAGUGUUGUGAGAGGGUUGUGAGAGGGUUGUGAGAGGGUUGUGAGAGAGUGUUGUGUGAGAGUGUUGUGUGUGUUGUCAGUGGUGUGUGUGUUGUGUGUGUCGUGAGUGUGUUAUGAGUGGUGUGUGUGUUGUUAGUGUUGUUAGUGUUGGUGGCGUGUGAGUGUUGUGUGUGUUGUGAGUGGUGUGUGUGUGUUGUGAGAGUGUUGUGAGUGUUGUGAG
Xyrauchen texanus (razorback sucker) is the source of this 974-nucleotide long non-coding RNA. RefSeq lists it as uncharacterized. The transcript has 3 exons. Lineage: Eukaryota; Metazoa; Chordata; Actinopteri; Cypriniformes; Catostomidae. The record is from RefSeq and is a predicted model, not a curated record.